AGGGGUAUAGUUCAGCUGGUAGAAUAUCGGUCUCCAAAACCGCGGGUCGGGGGUUCGAAUCCUACUGCCCCUG
RNAcentral lists this transfer RNA (73 nucleotides) under Lachnospiraceae bacterium. RNAcentral's name for it is "tRNA-Trp". It matches the Rfam family "tRNA". Rfam says of the family: Transfer RNA (tRNA) molecules are approximately 80 nucleotides in length. Lineage: Bacteria; Bacillati; Bacillota; Clostridia; Lachnospirales; Lachnospiraceae. The record is from RNAcentral.